RNAcentral lists this ribosomal RNA (1000 nucleotides) under uncultured bacterium. RNAcentral's name for it is "bacterial SSU rRNA". It matches the Rfam family "Bacterial small subunit ribosomal RNA", at positions 353 to 1371 of the family's 1533-position model. The record is from RNAcentral.
AGUGGGGAAUAUUGCACAAUGGAGGAAACUCUGAUGCAGCAACGCCGCGUGGAGGAUGACACAUUUCGGUGCGUAAACUCCUUUUAUAUGGGAAGAUAAUGACGGUACCAUAUGAAUAAGCACCGGCUAACUCCGUGCCAGCAGCCGCGGUAAUACGGAGGGUGCAAGCGUUACUCGGAAUCACUGGGCGUAAAGCGCGCGCAGGCGGCCUGAUAAGUUGGAUGUGAAAGCCUACGGCUCAACCGUAGAACUGCAUCCAAAACUGUCAGGCUAGAGUGUGGGAGAGGAAGAUGGAAUUAGUUGUGUAGGGGUAAAAUCCGUAGAGAUAACUAGGAAUACCAAAAGCGAAGGCAAUCUUCUGGAACACUACUGACGCUGAGGCGCGAAGGCGUGGGGAGCAAACAGGAUUAGAUACCCUGGUAGUCCACGCAGUAAACGAUGAAUGUUAGUCGUCGGGGGCCUAGUGUCUUCGGUGAUGCAGCUAACGCAUUAAACAUUCCGCCUGGGGAGUACGGUCGCAAGAUUAAAACUCAAAGGAAUAGACGGGGACCCGCACAAGUGGUGGAGCAUGUGGUUUAAUUCGAAGAUACGCGAAGAACCUUACCUAGCCUUGACAUAUUUUAGAACUCCGUAGAGAUACAGAGGUGCCUUCGGGAGCUAAUUUACAGGUGCUGCACGGCUGUCGUCAGCUCGUGUCGUGAGAUGUUGGGUUAAGUCCCGCAACGAGCGCAACCCUCGUCACUAGUUACUAACGGUUCGGCCGAGGACUCUAGUGAGACUGCCUUCGUAAGGAGGAGGAAGGUGAGGACGACGUCAAGUCAUCAUGGCCCUUACGGCUAGGGCAACACACGUGCUACAAUGGCCAGGACAGUGAGACGCGAUACCGUGAGGUGGAGCAAAUCUAUAAACCUGGUCUCAGUUCGGAUUGUAGUCUGCAACUCGACUACAUGAAGCUGGAAUCACUAGUAAUCGUAGAUCAGGUAUGCUACGGUGAAUACGU